ACUGACCUCCCCCAGCAGACCCCUGGAGCAGGUGUGUCCGUGCGGCCACAGCUGGAAAUCCGUUGCUGGCCAUGUUUGGUUUUUGUUGCCGUGACCAAACUCCUCACAUGGACGACUUGAAGCACAGGUCUGUUCUGGCUCUCCGUUUCAGAGGUCCAGCCCACGGUCGGCUGGCUGCGUUGCUCUGGGCCUGAGGGAGGCAGAACAUCAUGGUGGAAGGGUGGAAGGGAGGCAGGUGCCCUGCGCACAGUGGCCAGGAAGCAGAGAGCGAGAGGCAGAUGCCCCCUUCCAGGACACAGCCUCAGUGCCCUCGCUGCUCCUGCGGCUGGUGGAGCAGGCGGGGGGCAGCGUCUGGACUGGCAUCUGGAGGGGCUGGUCAGGCAGGCCCAGUGGCAGGCUGACCGUCAGGAGAGAUGGGACUUCCAGGAGGGAGAGAGGAGCUGCAGAAUCCGGAACGGCCGGCGAGCAACCCCCUCCCCUUGGCAGGCAGGGCAGAGGGCGCCGUGGCCGCACACUGGGGAGGAAGGCUGGACGGGUAACUGAGGCUGCGGUGGCCCAGGGGCUCAGCUGGCACAGAGACGCCAGCAGGGCUGUACUGACCAAGUCCAUGGGCCGGGCUGGGAAGGCAGAAUCCCCUGACCUCCUUCCCCACCAAGGGUAGGCUCAAGUGAUGGGGCCAGUCAGGGACCCUCCCCAUAUUUCAUCAGAAGCUGGGAGAGGGAAGAGUUGUGGCUUGCAUCCAGGGCCAUGGCGCCCUGUGGCAAGAAAGAGCCCUCACUUGAUGACCUGAUGACCCUGGAGCACCACCAGGGCCUCGGGCUUUGGCACACACGGGUACGGCUAUGAGCCUCACGCUGCAUUUGGAUUCCGCCUGGGGAAAAAGAUGCUCUAAGUAAAAUGGGUCAUGUGGGCCCCGCCCCCCAUGCCAGGCAGCAGGACAUGCCACCGAGGGGCUCGGCAGGCGGGGGCUUGGCAAGCUCUCAUGGUUACAGGAAAGGGUGGUGCUGGAGGGGCCUGAGCACAAGAGCGGCGGGACCUGGCUUAGAUUAUGUUUUAUUGGGGUGAAAUUCACUCUGCACACGUUGCUGUUCUAAAGCAGCACUGAACAUAUUGACGGUGGUGCACGACCACUCCGUCCGGCCCAAAAUACUUUCAUUACCCCAAAGGAGACCCAUUAGCAGUCACCCCAGUCCCCAGGCCCUGGCCCCUCUCCACAGACCCUGGCAAUCCCCUGCCGCUGCGUUCACCUGGCCUGGGCACUCCACGCAGACGGAAUCGUCCCGCUGCGCUCCUCGUCCCUGGUCCACUUCAGGCCGCGUCGUGUCUCCGAGUCCAUCAAGUCCCUCUGCUGUAACAUGGGCUUCUCAUACUGCUCGGGCACUUCCAGAGCCUCAGAGGGUGCGGUAGAAGCAGCGGUCACAGUGAUGACCACAGGGUCCAGUGCUAGCUGUUGCUGGACAUCCAGUGAUGGGUGAGACAGGUGACCUUGCACCUGCCAGCCUGUGCCAGGUGGACGGUUCCCAAACACAAACAAGGUGGACACUGUUCUGAUCACCAUGUGACAGGUGGGGACACUGAGGCUGGGAGGUGGCACAGAUGGUGAGUGGUGGACAUGGGUACACCUGUUCCUGACCCACAGGACCCUCAGGACCUCCUUCUGCCACCUGACGGUGAUGACAGCCCUCAGCCCCCAGCUUACACCCAAAGUGGCCCCCAUAGAAGCAGGAGGAAAGGCAGAGGGGGCCGUGGCCUCCGGCCUCCGCCCAGAACAAUGGGCCAGUCUCUGCCCACUCCCGGGCGCUGGUGACGUCAGGUUGGCACUGCCUCCCCACAAAGGUCUCAUUCUUUGCCAGCCCCUCCCCCGGACAGGAGGAGCACUUUGAUCUUCUGAUGACAUUCCUGCCAGGACUCCACCAGGAUGACGGCACCACAGGUGACAUGCCUUUGACUAACAAGGUGUCAGGAGCCCGGCUGUGCUGCAGCCAGUCACCUGGGCCCAGGGUGGAGGUGCGGCCGGGCCAGCCCACACCUGCCCGCUGAGGAAUCCGCACAGGCCGCUCCGGGCAGCCCCUGGCCCCUCCUGCGUCUUUCUCAGCAGCACAGCGGCUGGCCCUGAAGCUGCCCAAAGACGAAGCCACCCUGAGGCUGGAGCAGCAGACCCUGAGGGUCUUGAGGCUGCGGCAGCCAGGAGCAGCUGGGGCCCGUGGUGGGAGCUGAGGGCAGGGUCCCAUUGACAAGCCCACCCAGGCCAGCCACCCGGGACAGAGCAUGGGGUGCCAGGGACUGGGGUCCCUGCAGAGUGACAUCCCUCCCAAUUUUUCUCCUGGGGAGCGGGAACCUUGGACAGGUGGAGUGAGCGGCCCAAGACCCCCACUCUGGUGCCUGAGCAGAGGUCAGGCACGGCCUGACCCAGCCUCAGCCACAGCUCUCCACAAGGCCCCACCAGGGCCCGCCCAGCUUUGGCACCCUCCCUAGGUCCUCCGGCCUGGGCCUUCACAUGAAGUCCAGCUUGGACUCCACAUUCAUGGAGGGAAUUUCCAGAUCUACCCUGCCCUCACGGCUUUCCCCCGGGGGGCUGUGCUGGUCAUGCUGACCCAAUGUCCCCCCAAGGGAUGGCUGGCAGUCCGCUGGGAAGGAGGAGCUCAAUCCAGGGAGGACACUCUGACCAGCUGGCACUGACCUCUGGCCUGCCGCAGCCCUCCUCACUGGCCUGGGGCCUGGAUUGUGCCUGGCCUCUGGGGUCUGGGGGAGGCAGAGUCCUCCAUGUCACAGACCAGAUUCGUCUUCACACUAGUGGCAUGAGGCCAGGGCUGGCCUGGGUGACCUCCAUCGUGCCCUGAUCCCCGGGCCCUGGCCUGGGCCCCGCUGGCCUCCCUGGGAGUCCUCGGUCAGGUCUCCCUCAGACCCCAGCCUCCGUCGGAGUCCCUGGGGGCAGAGAGCUGUGCUGUGCCUCGCGUCCCUCGGGAUGAGGGCCUGCUGCCCUGGAGCACUCACAGCAUUGGCCCUUCCUAGCACAGGAGGAGGGGGGGAUUCAAAAUCAGAAGGAGAAGCCGUCGGGCACCGCAAGCCCCACACCCGGGUCGGGCAGAAUGCAGCGCCACUGCCCGCGCCUGUGUGGGAUCUGGGGCCUCGGCUGGGAGAGCCCCCACGCACGCUGCAGACCGGAGCCCCCUGCCAGCCACCGAGGGUCCCAAGAGCCACUAUGAGCCCAGGGGUGGGCUGCAGCGGGGCCACACCACACAGGCUGGCCACACCGGGCACCGACGUGAGCCCUGGCCACUCCUCCCUCUCAUGGACGGUGGGCGCCUGGAGUCCUCAGCAAGAUGAAGUGUGAAGACCCCUGGGCUCCGUGGCUCCUGUUCACCAUGGAGGCCAAGAGUGAUGGCCAGUACCAGGAGGAGGAGGCCCCGCCAUCCCUAGGGGGCUUUGGGAAAGUCAUCAACGAUGGGACAAAGACAGAGUCAGAUGCCGCCCAGGCCAGCGCCUUUCCUCAGGAGACGCGCCAAGCUCCAUCCCUUCCCUCUGGUGUCCUGAGGAGGGCUGGAGGGGUCUCCAGGCCAGUGAGGGUGCAUGGACCUGCAGAGAGGCACCAGGAGCCACGGGGGGACUCCGAGCCACACAGACCCCAGCUCCCAGCAUGUCCCCAGG
Molecule: long non-coding RNA, 3648 nt
Filed under: Marmota monax (woodchuck)
Lineage: Eukaryota; Metazoa; Chordata; Mammalia; Rodentia; Sciuridae
Source: RNAcentral